GCAGGAUGGGCUGGUCAGUGGGAUAGCCUCUGUGCACAUUUUGUGGCAAGUAGGAGUGACACAUCAUUCCUGGGAGGCCCCGUGGUUCCUGCCAAACCCAACCCCAGAAUUCUCCCUGAGGUGGUUUUACCAAACCCAUAACCCAGAACUGCUAUUGUGGUUUGGGGGUCAGCACCCACCAGUGCCAGGGCACUACUGGGAGGCUGGGACCUGACCAAAGCCCAUGGUGUCUGUGGCCUGAGGACAGGGUGUCUUGGGGCCAUGAGGACAGGCCACCAAUGGCCGUUGGGUCAUAGGGCCUGAGCCCCAGUGUUUGUCCUUCCCUGGCUCCUUCUGGUUCAGUCCCAUCAGGGCUCUGGAUCCCAAGACGCAGCAUCCAAGGUUCCCUCCAGGAAUCCUGGUGGCUCGGCUUACUUUGUCAUGUUUCAUCUGAUAGCAAAAAUAUCAGAUCGGCUGCACAGAAAAAUGGCUCAAAGUGCUUAAUGACCAGAAGAAAUCUGGGAGUAGCAAGAAGGUAAUGUGGAGAGGGGAGGACCUCCAUGACUGGUGUCUGCAGAGCCAGGGGUACAGGGACCCAGUGCAGUGACCUGGCACCACCUGCCUCUCAGAGGGUGGGUAGCACACUGUCCUUACCUGGGGGACAGCAGGCCUGGUCACCGGCUUUUCUCCCUGUCCCUGCAAGCAUCACAUUGCUGGAAGAGAAUCUCAUGCCAGAGCUUGGACCAUCCCUAGCUUGGGGGUUAGGGGUUGUCUCUUGGUGACCUAAAUGAAAAAAUAGGUCCAGAUCAGAGUUCGUGAUGCAUAGCACUCACCCACUCUUUGAAUCAUGGGAGGGGAGGCCUAGUCCUAGGUAAACCUAAACUCUUUGAGGAACCACAGAGCCCAAGGCUGGAAACCUCCAGAAUCCUCCAGCCCCUGAUCCCCCCCCCCCCCGGGGACCUCUGUGGCCUGUCUCACCAGAGCACUCUUCUGUCUGUAGAGGUCUCAGGUGCUCUACAAGGGAGUCCCAUUUCAGGUGUGGGGCUGGGUAUGGUCACUCCUGCUGGAUGUCUAGAAGGUGAAAACCAAGGACCUAGGAAAAUACCAGAUACAGCCUUUCCACCGUCAUCCAGAGCAGGACAAACACGCCAGGUGGUGUCAGGAGCCCAGGUCUCCAGCUGGAGGGAAUGUCAACCCUGCAGUGGGAGCCCAUCAUGCAUCCUAGGCACAGAUGCUAACGUAGGCACCGCAGUGCUUCCAGGGUUUCAUAUGUGUUAUGGAGAUGCUUCCUCUCUCCAACCUCACCGUGCAGGAAUCCCAGUGAAUAUAUUGCCACCAUCUUGGAGCUCAGUGCCCUCAUAGUGUAACAGCACCAGCAGAUCUGCCUGUGCACAGACUUCCUGUACUACCUCACUCCUGAGGGGAGAUGCUUCUGCAGGGCCUGCGACCUGGUGCACAACUUUAGACACCAUCAUCCUGGAGCGGCACUGCACCCUCACUAGCCAGGGUGUUGAUGACUUCCUCAAUGCCAAGGCCACGUUCAAGAUUUUCGACUUCAGUGAUGCGUUUGUGCUGAGCAAGGUGGGCUUCUCCGGGAUCUUAAUUCAGGAGGUAGAAUGCAGCUUGAGAUCUAGUGUCUGAUCAAAGAACUUGAACUUGACCUGGAGGGCUCUGGGGAGCCAUGGAAGGUGCUGGAUAAAGGAAGGGACAGUCAUAUAUAUUUUAGAGAUGACUGUGGAAGGCUGCCUGGAAGGAGUGAACAAGAGCCAGGAGACCAGGGAGGGAGUUUGUGGGGCAGGUCUGCAGAUGGCAAGGGAGGGAUCCUGCUUGGAUGAAAGGUCUUCAGGGACUGUCUCAGGUUACACUCAGGUGCCCUCAGAGCUACUGUGUUCAGGGUUCUUGUCUCCAGGAUGAAAAUAAGGAGGAGUUGUCAGACAAGGACAUAUACAUGGAGGCUGGCAUCUUCAUGAGUGCCAAUCGUGGUCCUGGUGUGGACUACUGUGGGAGCAGGGGUCUCUCCAUCCAGGGACAUGGUGGAUGGACCCUACAUCACUCCAUUCUGCCCUUCCUUUCCCUCCCAUUCUCCUGAGGGACUCAAUGCAUGGGCACUGUCCAACCUCUGGUGCUGAAGCAGCCAAGAGACCCAAGCCUGCCUUGCUGCCACUUAGGAUAUGACAGCACAGCCAGUGGCCUCUACUGGAUCCUGGUACCCCUCAGAAGACACCCAGACACUGGGAGUGCUGCCACCUCGUGGUGCAAGAGUUCUGAGGGACGGCAAUUCUGAAGACAUUGAAUGCCGUUUUGCACACCCUGGUCAGAAUGAAACAUUCCUUGGGAACUCGGGCCGUGAGAAGCAUCCUUCCUGAUCACCUGACUGUAGAAACAUCCUUAUCGCACCCUCCCGGGCAAAGGCCCAACAGCCUGACUGCAGGAACAUCCUUGCCAUAUCCUGCCGGGCAGCAAGCUCUACCGCCCACACCCCUCCUUCCCAGUCCCAUGAUCACCCCAGCCUGUGAGAGGCAGUUGGUGCUGGCAGUAAGCUGGUUUCCUCCUCUGCAGGGUUUUGCUAGUAAUAAAGGUGUUGCUGUUGAAGCCGUC
This 2577-nucleotide long non-coding RNA is filed under the name Homo sapiens (human). RNAcentral's name for it is "HSALNT0352498". The record is from RNAcentral. Lineage: Eukaryota; Metazoa; Chordata; Mammalia; Primates; Hominidae.